This 373-nucleotide ribosomal RNA is filed under the name Clostridioides difficile. RNAcentral describes it as "bacterial SSU rRNA". It matches the Rfam family "Bacterial small subunit ribosomal RNA", at positions 1 to 381 of the family's 1533-position model. The record is from RNAcentral. Lineage: Bacteria; Bacillati; Bacillota; Clostridia; Peptostreptococcales; Peptostreptococcaceae.
UUUUAUUUGAGAGUUUGAUCCUGGCUCAGGAUGAACGCUGGCGGCGUGCCUAACACAUGCAAGUUGAGCGAUUUACUUCGGUAAAGAGCGGCGGACGGGUGAGUAACGCGUGGGUAACCUACCCUGUACACACGGAUAACAUACCGAAAGGUAUGCUAAUACGGGAUAAUAUAUUUGAGAGGCAUCUCUUGAAUAUCAAAGGUGAGCCAGUACAGGAUGGACCCGCGUCUGAUUAGCUAGUUGGUAAGGUAACGGCUUACCAAGGCGACGAUCAGUAGCCGACCUGAGAGGGUGAUCGGCCACAUUGGAACUGAGACACGGUCCAAACUCCUACGGGAGGCAGCAGUGGGGAAUAUUGCACAAUGGGCGAAAG